UCAAGUUCUGAUCCAGCUAUGUC
RNAcentral lists this non-coding RNA (23 nucleotides) under Cricetulus griseus (Chinese hamster). Lineage: Eukaryota; Metazoa; Chordata; Mammalia; Rodentia; Cricetidae. The record is from RNAcentral.